RNAcentral lists this ribosomal RNA (236 nucleotides) under uncultured bacterium. RNAcentral's name for it is "partial 16S ribosomal RNA". It matches the Rfam family "Bacterial small subunit ribosomal RNA", at positions 524 to 759 of the family's 1533-position model. The record is from RNAcentral.
UACGAAGGGGGCUAGCGUUGCUCGGAAUUACUGGGCGUAAAGCGCACGUAGGCGGCUUGUUAAGUCAGGGGUGAAAUCCUGGAGCUCAACUCCAGAACUGCCUUUGAUACUGGCGAGCUUGAGUUCGGGAGAGGUGAGUGGAACUGCGAGUGUAGAGGUGAAAUUCGUAGAUAUUCGCAAGAACACCAGUGGCGAAGGCGGCUCACUGGCCCGAUACUGACGCUGAGGUGCGAAAG